GAGGUGGGUUACAUCGGCUUUACUCCUAAGUUCUUAUUGGUCGACAUGUAUAGAUCUUGAUUUCGGUAAAUUGUGUUAGCUCAAAUUCAUGGACUAUAUGUAGAUUGUGAAAUCUGAAUUUUGGAGCAUGUUUUAUAAAUUAAGUAGAUUAUACAUGUUGGACUUGGAAAUUGAAUUAGGAGAAAACCUGCGAUUUGGACCUGUCACCAGUUUUAACUACCUGAUUUAGCUCUAGGAGCCGUUAGAAAAUUGUACUGUCGCAGUUUCUUCGAGACGAGUACUCCAGGUAGUUUAGAAUGUAUUUACACUCGUGCUGGUUCGCCGAGUGGAUUUUUACAGGGUCGUUCAGGUCGUUUCGGACUGUUGGGUGCCGUCAGAGUUGACGGUGGACCCGUAUCGCCUUUUUGGCGUCAGAUUGUGCCGAGGGCACGUUACCUGUUGGUUGUUAGACCAGUUUGAGUCGAUUACUUGACUUUGGCUAGUUGGAGCCUGAUUGAGCUCGACAGAGAUACGCUGCAUACUCGGUUGGGUAGCGCCCACGAGUGCCACUCCGGAGUCAGGCUUGUGCUUUUGCGUUGGUGUCGCUCAUGCCAGUUGGACUUGCUCUCCACGGACCAGUUAGAGUGGAUAGAGCCCGAUAGUCGCAACGGGGCAGGGACGGGUGUAUUCACAGUCCCGGGGACGGGUAUGCUUACAGUCCCGAUUGGAUUGGGUCAGAUUUGACAUUUCCUACAGUUGGUUAGUGUAGAGCAUGAUAGUGUAGUGGAUGAUAGCGGUAGAGUAUGCUUCCUGCUUUCCUUCUAUCCUUGCUCCCUUCUGUAGACUUAGUGGGUGACCGAUGUUGUUUUGGGCGGUACCCACUGAGGACUACUUGUUUUUACAGUAGUUCUCACGCCCAGUUGUUACCUAUGUUUUUGCAGAGCCACAGGUUCCGGCUGCUGCACCGUCUGCGGACCAGGAUCGAGGCAAGGGCGUCGCGAGUUAGAGCCCUACCCGACGUGCUGAGCUAGAGGUGCCCUACUGCAGGUAGAUGUUUUGUUUCGAGUUUAUGUACAUAGUUGACUUAACUCGCCAGUGCGAGUAGCUCUGUAUUUUAGAUCUGAACUAUGUAUAUGAAACUCUGUUUUAUUUAGCUUCAGUUUUCUCUAGCAGCUCUCUACUACUGUUCGUAGUAGUGUUUGAUUUACAAGUACAGCUAUCGCUUCGUAUACAGGAAAAAUUUUUUUGUAUACGGCGGAUUUGUCGGCGUGCCCGGGAAACGUGUAAUCCGGGACGUGACAAUAUAAUGGAGAGAGAAUGAAACAUUGGAUACCCAACGUUUCCAACAUCCCACUUAAUUCAUGCCUUUAUGUGGCAUAAAGAAGAAAUAAAUUUAAUUUAAUUAAUCUAAUUAAUUAACAUAAUAAAAGAUAAUAAAUGAGAAUAAUUAUAAAAUUAAAUGAUAUUUAGAGAUUUUGGAUUUUCUCCAACAAUUUGUUAUAGAAAUAUCCAACCUUAUAUAUUCAUUCAUCAUAGGUUUAAUAUCCGAUAUGGGACUAUUCUUAAUCUCGAGAUGUUAUAAAAGACUAUAUUUUUAAUAUCCGAUAUGGGACUAUUCUUAAUCUCGAGAUGUUAUAAAAGACUAUAUUUUUACUGGAUAGAAAGUAACAAUAGGAUAUUCAAAGGAAAUUCCAAUUGUAGUGUCACGCCCCGGAUUAUUCGUUUUUUCGAGCACGCCAACAGACUCGCCGUAUACAUAGAAAUUUUUCCUGUAUACGAAGCGAAGCCGUACUGAAUCUGUAAAUAAACAACACUACAACCAGUAGUAUAGAGCUGCUAGAAGAACCGGUAUAUAAUAAAAAUGGAUCAGUAGAUACACAGUAUCCUGAUACAAAGCACUUGCUCCAGCGAGUUAUAACAUCAGUAUGUAAUGAACCAAAAACUACAACUACCUGUAGCUGGUGCUCCACUAACUCGUCAGCUCGUCUGGUAGGGCUCUAAUUCGCAACGCCUUUGCCACGAUCAGUCUCAGAGAGUGCAACAGCCGGAAUAGCAGGCUCUGUAAAAGAGAGGUAACAACAGGGCGUGAGAACUACUGUAAAAAUAAGUAGUCCUCAAUGGGUGCCGCCCUCAAUAUCAUUGGUCCGCCCACUAAGUCUAUAGAAGUAAGCAGAGAUAGUAGAAAAUGCUGGAAUAAAUCUAUAGCUAAAUGCCACUACACUAUCAUGCUCUAAAACUAACUAUCUGUAGAAAAUAAAUUCUGACACAAUCUCACUAGGAACUGUAAGCAUACCCGUCCCAGGGACUGUAAACACACCCGUCCCGCAUGUUGAAGCUAAAGCUACCUCCACCACUAAGCAGUCCGUGGAAAGCAAGUCCAACCAGAACAUAACGACACCAACGCAAACGCGCAAAACCCGACUCCGGAGUGGCACUCGUGGGCGCUACCCAACCGAGUAUGCAAGCGUAUCUCUGUCGAGCUCAAUCAGAUUCUUGCAGGCUAUAGUCAAGUAAACAGGGUCUAACUGGUCUAACAACCGAAACACACGUGCUCUCGGCACAAUCUGAUACUACAUCAGUAAUCUGGGUCCACCGUCAACCUCAACAGCACCCAACAGUCCGGAACAGUCUGAACAGUAAAAGUAGGCUCGGCAUCCCAGCACGAGCGUAACUGCACUCUAAACUACCUGAGGUAUCCACCGCUCUGAAACUGCGAUGAUACAAUCGAACCACGGCUCCUAGAGCUAAAUAUGAUAGUUUAAGCAUAUGACGGGUAAAAUCGCGAUUUUCUCCUAAGUCUCAUCCAAGUCCAACAUGUAUAAAUGUUCUAAAAUUGCUACUUGAUGCUCCAAACUCAGAUUCUACAUAUAGGCAUGCAAUUCACAAGUUCGAGCUAAACAAACAAGAUAUACGAAGAUCAUCAAUACAUGCUGUCAACUAGGCUUAGAAGAGAAGUCCGAUGAUUAACCCACCUCGAAAGCUACUCCAAAACCGGCACGACGUCGAGAACGGCGGUAUCACACCCUCUCCCAGCCUCCCCGCGACGCUACUACGACGAACGUGCACUUGAACGGCACCGCGGCGCGACGUCGGCGACAAUCCAACACCACCCGAGCUCCUCCACCACGUACGAUCCAAGCUAGAGAGAGAGAGGAGAAUAAGAACAGUGAGAAGCUCCCUCUCAGCUCUCUCACACGUAUAAGGAGUGGGAGAGAGGGUGACACAAAUGAGGCAAGAAAAGACUAAUUUGCCCUCUCACCUACCCUGAUGUACCGGUAUAUGAGCGUUUGUACCGGUACAAAUGGCAACCCGAGUGCAGCUGCGCGGAAACAGGCGAAGUGUAUCGGUACACCCCCAAUGUUGUACCGGUACAGAAAAUGCACCGGUACACUUCUGAUGUUGUACUGGUACAACAAGCAGAAAAUCUGCAAUUUGCAGAUUCCAAAGCUAACUCCUGCUCUCGCGUCCCCACUGAGUUUGUUUUGCGUCUAUUUCGCGCCAAACGCAACUCGGACUUGUCCCGACACUCUCACGACGUGUCGAUAAGCCUCAACCGUUGUACACCAGGGAUACUACAUGUAGAGUCUUUUUACUUGAAAAAAAUCAAUCCUUUUGUAUCUCUAUAGGCUGAUAAUCUUAUCGCAGUUAAGAAAAAGAGAGAGUAUAUAUAGAUGGAGACUUAAAAGAAGAAAGAGUGUAUUGACAGCUCCACCAGAUUAUCAGCAACUGUAAAAUAAUAAGUAUUUUGAAUGUUGGCAGGAAAAGAAUUAAUGGGGAUAUAAUUAGCUUUUCACAAUAGUUUAAUUUUUUUCUAGUUUCAGCUGGAUUGUGAGCUAUCUAAUGGUAUGUUAUAUGUUGCGAUGUUGGAUAUAUACAUGUGGUUUGCCCUUUAUUUAUUUACUCUGUGUACGUUGUAGUAUGUAAUAGUUUGCAAAAAAAAUUGGUUGAGAGUAAUUUUAUCUUCAGUUUUUACUAUAUAAAUAUAUAUAUAAAACUAUGGUACUAUACUAUUAAUAGCACCAAGUAAUUGCUGCUAUUAAAUUUUUAGUCUUAGAUAAAAGGAUGUGUGAUUAGGAGAUAGUGGUCCUUUAGAUAUUGUUUGGUUUGGAUAUAAGAAAGAACUGUCAAUUUCAGAAAUAGGUAUAAAUUCAAGUAUAAGUAAGAAUUAGACCAAUUUUGUGUUUGGUUGAAAAAUGGAUUGUUCCCGGAGAUAAGAAAAAUAACGUUUGGAUAGAUAAGAUAAAAUAAAAAGAAGAGUGGAUAGUUAAAUAAAAAAUAAUAAUUUUACCACUCUCAUUAUAUUUGAAUUUGAAUUUUCAAAUUUUAUAUUUAUAUUUUUUAGUUUAAAAUUUUAACAUUUAAAUUUCAAAUUUUGAAACUAAAAUUCAAAAUUUAAAAUCUCAAACUUUAAAUUCAAAAUCAUAAAUUUUAAAUUCCAAACUUUAUAUUUAAGAUCAAAUUUAAAUUUAAAAAUAUAAAAUAUAAAAUUUUAAAUUUUAAAAAUUUAAAAUAUUAAAAUUUAAAUUUAAAUUUUAAAAUUUAGAAUCUAAGAUUAUAAACUUUAAUUUAGAGAUUACAAAAUAUAAAUUUUAAAAAUUUAAAUUUAAAUUUUUAAAUUUUAAAAUUUAAAAAUUUUAUGUAGUGUUUCUGAGCUUUGGAUAGGAUUNAAUUUAAAAUUAUAAACUUUAAUUUUGAGAUUACAAAUUAUAAAUUUUAAAAAUUUAAAGUUUAAAUUUUAAAAUAAGAAUAGGGGUGGCAACAAUUAAUACAAAUAAUUUAUUAUAAUAUUUAAAUAUAAUUUAUUAUAAUAUUUAAAUAUAAAUGAUACGUACUAAUAUAUUGCAUUUAAUAAUUUUAUUAUAAAAAUAAUAUAUUAUAAUAUAUAACAUAUUAUAUUUAUAUAAUUUAUUUUUAAUUUAAUUUAUAAUUUUAAUAAAGUUUGAAAUUAAAAUUAGAAUAGCAGUAUUCUACCAAUGGUGAAAUAGUAAAUUUCAAACUAUUUCGGGAUAGCCGAGAAUAGCAGGGUUUGACCGGAAUAAAAUAUUCCGGCCAAAAAUCAUCCCGUUUGGUAGAAUAGCGGAGAUAAUUUUUGUAGUAUCCUAGGGAUUUGUUGCCCGUGAGAUUUUAGCAUCUGAGACUUGUGGACACAUCUAGAGAGUGUUGAGACAAGUCCGAGUCGUUUGGGCGCGAAAUGGACGCAAUACGGACUCAGUGCGAUGCGAGAGCAGAGUCGUGGCACAGAAAUCUGCAAAGUGCAUGUUUCAGAAUUUAGUACCGGUACCACGCAGGGGAGUACCGGUACCCCAGUGCGUUGGCAGAACAGUCUGCUCUCGGGUUGCGCCUAACUGAUGCUGAGUACCGGUACUGCAUCGGGUCAGUACAGGUACCGAGGCCGAGUACCGGUACUGCAUCGGAUGAGUACCAGUACCCAAUGUGCGAAGCUGCGGGCUGAAAGCCCGAGUACCGGUAACCAAAUCUGGUACCGGUACUCUAGUUGGACUUUUGAGUCGGUAAAGGGCAUCUCGGUCUCACCCACCUCUUUAUAUGCUCACAGAGAGAGAGAGUUUGUGAGUCCUUCUCCAUUCCUUCUCUCUUUCGUUGGUGGACCCGUACGUGCUGGAGGACGCGGUUUGAGCUCGGAUCGACGUCAACGUUGCGCCGGAGAGCCGUUCGAGCGAGUAGGCGUCGCGGUUGCGUCGUUGGAGGCUGGGCGAGCGCGGGUUUUCCAUUUUUUUCGACUUCUUGCUGUUGUUGGACGAGCGUUUUGAGGUGGGUUGAAGUUUACCAAAAUCGUCGGAUUUCUUCCUAAGCCUAGUUGUUGUCAGCAUGUAAACUUCAUGUAUAGUAUUAUGUUAUAUGCUCGAUUCGCCGAUUUGCAUGGUUUUUAUGUGGAAUCUGAAUUGGUGCUUCUUUAAAUACUAGAAUUAUUUUCAUGUUGGACUUGGAAUUGACUUAGGACAAAACUAUUGAAUUUACACUAUCAUUUCUGAAAACUACUAGAUUUUGUUUUAGGAGCUGUAGUUUACUUAUAUCGUCACUGUUUGUAGGCGGUGGAUACCCAAAAUAGUGUAGGAUGAGUUUACGCUCGAGCUGGGAUGCCGAGUUUAUUUUACAGUAGUAUGUAGACUGUUUUGAACUGUUGGGUGCUGACUCGGUUCACGGUGGACUCAGAUUUCUGUUUUGCAUCAGAUUGUGUCAGGGGCAAUUGUGAGUUGGUUGGUAGACCAGUUAGACAUUUUUCUUUGACUAUAGCCUGUGAGAGUUUGAUUGAGCUCGACAGAGACACGCUUGCAUACUCGGUUGGGUAGCGCCCCGGAGUGCCACUCCGAAGUCGGGUUUUGUGCGUUCGCGUAGCUGUCGUAGGGUCCGGUGGGACUUGCUCUUCACCAACUACCUAGUGUGGAGGUGGUUGGUGACGCUUUAGCAGGUAGGACGGGUACGUUCACAGUCCUUAGUGAGAUUGGGUUAUAGAUUGCAUGUUGCCUAUAUCUACAGAUAGCUAUUGUUGAUUAGCGAUAGUAUAGUGUGUAAGUUUUAAGGAGCCCAAAGAUCUAUCUAGAUUGUAUCAAACACCUAGAGGGGGGUAAAUAGGUGUAAAAGCCAAAAAUCGCAAAUCUCAAUGCGAUAAAAAUAAAUGCGAAAAAUAAAAAUCACACCGAGAUUUACGUGAAAAAACUCCAACUUGGAGUAAAAAACCCACGGGACCAACACGUAAAAAAAUAAUUCACUAAGAGAAAAUAUUACAAGGUGAUUACCGACUCUACGGACUCGACCUCUCUUGACCUCCUAUGAAUCUUCGCGCUACCCUCCGGGUUGUCCACGCCCUCACGUUCGAAUCCACGAACGCUACAUUCCGAAUCCACGAAACGCCUCCACUUCGAAUCCACGAAGCUUUCGAUCCGAAUCCUCGAACCGCCUUCAAUCACACCGAAUCCACAACGCUAUCCAUGAAGAACAUCAUGAAUAUGGUAAUCCCUCGCUUAGAGUAUCGAUGAAAACCAGAGAAGAGAACUCUAAGCGAAGAGUAGAUCAAAUCGACAUAUAGAUAUCACAUUACAAUAUCUCGAUUUGACCUAGAAGAGGCUUCUUUGUAGAAAAUAGGUUUUUGACGAAAAACAAGCCUUCAGGGUUUCUCAAACAUGAAUUCUCGUGAUGCUUCAUCAGUUAGAGAACCCCAAUAGCUUAUUUAUAGACUUUAGAAUCAAUUGGAGUCGGAUUAGAAAGUUUUCGGAUUUUUUACAUUGUGUACCGGUACAAAAUUAAGGUGUUACCUGUUACACGAUGACAGAACAGAAAACAAUAAGCCUCGAAACCGGUUACAUGUUGAUGGUUGUACCGGAACAUGUUUUGUACCGGUACACUUCCGAUGUUGUAUCGGUACACAGUGCAUUUUCCAGAAUUUGCACUGUUUCGGGUUUCACAUAGCUCCGAGGCACUUUCUAAUCCAUUAAACUUUGAUAUUCAUGAUUCUAACAUCUAUAACUAAGUAUAAAUCACCAUAACAUGAAAUAAAACUUUACCUGAGUAUCGUGAUUCACGUCGUGUCACGCCCCGGAGUGCACAGUCCCCCGGGCACGCCGACAAAUCCGCCGUAUACAAGAGAAUUUCUCCGGUAUACGAAGCGUAGCUGUACCUGUAUAAACAUACAAUACUACAAGCAGUAGUAUAGAGCUGAAGUAAACUAUAAACAAGAAGGUAGAAAUAACAAACUUUAAGCAUACAACAGCCACGGAUAUAAAAGAACACUACUCGCUCCAGCGAGUUCAACUGUAAGAACAAAAGCGCCCGAACAAAAACUGUCACUACCUGCAGCGGGAGUCCUCUAGCACUGUACUCGAAGGGCAGGCUCUAGCUCGCCACGCCUUUCCCGCGGUCCGCCUCAGAAGGAGCAGCAGCCGAAACAGAAGGCCCUGCAACAACGGUGGAAGAAAGAGGGCGUGAGAACUACUAUAAAAACAAGUAGUCCUCAGUGGGUGCCGUCCUAAACAACAUCGGUCCACCCACUAAGUCUACAGGGUAAGCAAGAUAGAAGAAAAUGAAGCUGGAAACUCUCUACAGCUACAAGUCGCUAUGCUAUCAUGCCCAGAACUAACACCUAUAGACUCAAGUCAACCAGACCCAAUCUGAAGGGGACCGCGAACGCACCCGUCCCUGGGACUGUGAACGCACCCGUCCCGUGCCCGGUUGUGACUGCACAGCUACCCCCACUCUAAACCUCAGUGGAGAGCAAGUCUAACCUGCACUACCCGACACCGACGCGAAAGCACAAAGCCUAACUCCGGAGUGGCACUCGGGGGAGCUACCCAGCCGAGUAUGCAGCGUAGCUCUGUCGAGCUCAAUCAGGCCCUAACCAGCCAAACCCAAGUAACCAAAACAGACUUUGGGGCCCACCGCCUGCCCCGACGGCGCCCGACACCCCGUAACAGUCUACACUCAGCUAGUAUAAGCUCGGCGUCCCAGCACGAGCACAAACACAAGCUACACUACCCUGGGUAUCCAUCGCACAUAGCCCGCGACGAUACAAUGCAACAUGGCUCCUAGAGCUAAAUCCGGCAGUGUAUGUAAAUGACGAUCAACUCGGGAUUUUCUCCUAAGUCAAAUCCAAGUCCAACAAGUAUCAAUUAUCAUUACUCACUAAGCAUGCUCCCAAUUCAGGUUUUUAAUAUACUAAUCCAUGAAUUUGAGCUACCUCGUUUAGUGUUCAACGAACAAAGCAUACAAGUCGACUAAUAUGUACUUAGAGGCAAAACCGAUGAACCCACCUCUCUCAAGCAACUCCUGGCAGCGAAGAAAGUGGCCCGGAUUCAAAUUGAUCCCUCGCUGGUCCGUCGAAGUCCCCGGUUCCCCUGCUGCGAAGAGGUAAACCCAAUUACACUCAAAAUCACAAAAUCUGCCCAGAAAACAGCAGCGAAGAAAGCGUUAAAUCCGACCAAGCUAACCUUAUCCAAAUUCAGCAAACAAGGGUUCUGAAGCUUCGUCUCGAAGUCACGGAUCCAAUGGCCCAGGUUUCGCUGAAUUCCGACGCUCCUACGCAGAGAACGGGCCAGAAUACGAAACGUCGACGCUGGAACCUGCGAAACAGUAUCUCUGAAAUCUGCUCGGCAAACAGCAGCCUAGUAAAACUAGGGUUCGACAGGGCAAACCUGCUCCAAAAAUCACGAUCUUGGGCUCAGAAUCUUCGUCUCAAAGUCGCGAAUCUAGCACGCCAAAUUUCGUCGCGUUCCGACACUCCUACACAGAGAACUAGGUAAAACACGGCGGGUCGAUGCUGGAAUCAGCAAUCAGCACUUCAGAGUCUGCUCGGCAAACAGCAACUCAGUAAAAAGGGAUUUCGACAGAGCAAACCUUCUCCAAAUCGGGCGAGUAAGGAUCCUAUGAAUUCGUCUCGAAGUCUCGGUUCCAACGAAUCAAACCGCGUCACGUUCCGAUGCUCCUGCGCGGAAUACGAGUCAAAGCUCUGCGGGUCGACGCUGGAAUCAACAGCAGCAGCAGUGCAGUUCGAAAAUCGUAGAAGUUUAAAGCCAAAAAAAAAAAAGCGAUCUCGAGGAACCACUCACCUCGACAAACCCUCCCUGCGAGCAGCACCUCGUCGAAAACUCGCUCGAUCCGCUACGCGGCGCGUCGUCGACGAAGCUCGAGCUUCUCUUGAGCUCCUCCAACACUCUAGGUUGCUAAGGGAAGUAAAAGGAGAGGAAGAAGAAGCACAGCAACAGCAGCAGCAUGAAGGAGCUCCCCUCUCUCUCUCCUCUCUGCUCCAAGAUAAGGGUUAAAGGGGGGUGAUGUGACAAGAUGGCCAAAAAGUCAACUUGCACCCUGCUUCCACUUUGUACCGGUACAGCUCACUGAAAAUCUGCUAUUUCGCAGAUCUUCAAGAUACCCGCUGCUCUCAAGUUCCCACAAGGCCCGUUUGGCGUCCACUUCGCGCCAACGCGACCCGGACUUGUCCUGACACUCUCCAGAGCUGUCGACAAGCCUCAGCUAAAAUUCUAGGUCUCUACACGUCGUGAGAUAUUUCAGCUUUCCUCGAAAUCUUGGAUUCUUCGUUCUUCGACGAUACGCAUCGAUCCUUCAAGAUUUCGACUCAAUUCACGAAACUUGCCAACACACAAGACUUAACAUAGUGGCAUGUAGCUGUAGAGUUUUUCAGCUUCCUUUACUAUCUUUGAGCAUACUUUCUGUAGACUUAGCGGGUGAGCCGUUUAGGUCUGUAGCGCUACCAACUGAGGACUACUUCUUUUUGCAGUAGUUCUCACACCCAGUUGUUGACCCCUUUUUGCAAAGCCUUCGUCUUCGGCUGCUGGUGGUGCUGAUAUAGAUAGUGGAAAGGGAGUCGCGAGCUAGAUCCCUUCCAGACGUGUUUCAGAGCUAGAGGAGUUCCUCCCACAGGUAGUUUUUGGGUCAUUCGGUGUUCUUGUACAUACCUAUGUCUGUUGGCUCGCUGGAGCGAAUGGUGUCUGUAUUUUGGACUGUGUAUGUAUAGUGAACCUGGUUUUUAUUAUAUAUAUUUCUUUUAGCAGCUCUCUACCUUGUGGUUGUAGCUUGAUUGUGUUUACAGGUACAGUUAUCGCUUCGUAUACUAGAAAAUUUCUAAGUAUACGGCGAAUCUGUUGGCGUGCCCAAGGAAACGAGUAAUCCGGGGCGUGACAAUUUUUGUUAUUCCCACUUAUAUCCCAAACCAAAUGGGUUAGGGUUGAGUGGAUGGUUGGUUAAAUAGUAUGAUCUAAUAGAUGAAAAUAAUCAAAGAGGUAGAUCUAAUAGUGGAAAAUUUGAUAGCACCAAGCGCUUUAUGCUAUUGAUAGUAUAGUAAUUGGAUUCUCUCUCUCUUUCUCUCUCUCAUUGAUGCUAUUAGAUUUUCAAUCCUUGGAUGAUGGGAUGUGCGAUUAGAAUGACAGUGGUCCCCUCGGAUUGAGUGGAUGGUUGAUUGAAUAGUGCGAUGUCACGCCCUGGAUUACCGGGGAAACCAGAUUACCACGUUUCCUCGGACACGCCAAAAGACCUGUCGUAUACAUAGAAAUUUUUCGUGUAUAUGAAGAGAUAACUAUACCUGUAGAUAGAAUAUAGCUACACCAGAGGUAAAGAGCUGCUAUAACUAAAACAUGUAUAAAAACAUAGAGGGUCCACUAUACAUACAAAAGCCACGGAACAACCUCGCUCCAGCGAGUACAAUGACAUAACGGUAUGUACAUACAAACCCCAAAACUACCUCAGCAUGGUACUCCUCUAACAUAGCAACCAAGGAUGGUAGGGAUCUAGCUCGCGACUCCCUUAUCGCGGUUGAAAUCAGCAACAACAGCAGCAGCGGACGGCCCUGCAAAAAAAAAAGUGGCAACAACAGGGUGUGAGAACUACUACAAAAUAGAAUAGCCCUCAGUGGGUACCGUCACCGACCUUAACGGCCCAUCCACUAAGUCUACAGUACAAGUAAGACAAAAGUAGGUACAGGAUAGUAAGAAAGAUGAAAGAAACUCUAAAACUAUAUGCCACUAUGUUACCGCUAUUCAACCCAGACUCACUGUAGAUACAAAAAUACAUCACUAGCUACAUACUGACCUAAUCUCGAGGGACUGCCAACUGUCCCCAAUUUCGUAAAUUUAUUAUUGUAAACAUCACAUACACCUUUAAUUAUUAAAUUCUUUUCUCCAAUAACACUCUACUCAAAUACUUUGGGUGCUUAUCAAAUUUAAGAAGUAAAACUGUACAAAAGGGUUAAAAAAUCAAGAUGUUUAUCAAGUACAUUUACACUCAAAAAAUUCUCGGUUGGGACUUUCAUGAAAGAACAAUGCAACUGAGGGACGUUUUUUUAGUAGUUUAGAGACCUGUAUGGAAAUUACCCUAGAUGUCUUUUUCUGCAUAAUGUUGCAUGCUAAUGACAUUAUUAAUUUAUUUCGUUGUUUUUUUUAAUCUUUGAUUAGCGGUGGGAGUUCAUGUUGCCAGGUGACAGAAAAGUGAGUUCAAUACUAAAUUUCAGGAAAAAUUGCUCAAUGAUGAUUAUUAUCAAGAUGAACUGGCAAUGAAAAUAAGCAUGCGUAAUAACUUCUAAUGAAGAAAUAUGAUCAGGGUUUCGAGUUUGGGUAUAUGACAAGAGUAGAUGUUAUGAAUUACUUUAGACAAUAAAUAUUUAUGUCAACAGUGCGCUUCUAUGUUUAGCCUUUGUCUAUGUUUAUCGUUUGUUUGUUAAUAACAUGAGUUCAAAGGGGCUUGUGGGAAAUAUCAAGGAAGAUUCUUUUUUUCUUUUUCUUUUUUUUCUCCCUUUUCUUUCCCCUCGUCAUCGGGAGUGAGGUGUCCUCAACCAAUUUAUGCUAUGGAGCCAAAUCCGAGGAAUCCCUUUCCAUGGCUUCCUUUUAUUUUCUCCUAAUAUCUCGACAUGUUGUUUCAUUUUUGCGUUACUAACCGAUUACGAUGUGCAGGUCGACUCGAAGCGACGGAGAAGGUGACAUUUCUAGAGUAUUCAUCUUGCGCCGUCGUGAUGUAUAGAGUUAUGUAGUUCUCCGACACGGUGUACAUAACAUAGGGUACUUAAGUACACUGUUCCCGUUUGGUUCGGGUAUAAGCAAGAACUAGCUAUUACAGGGAUAGGUAUAAGUAUGAGGAUAAGAAAAAUAGUGUUUGGAUGAAAAUUGGAUUGUUCGGGGAUAAGAACAAUUUUAGAUAGUUUUAUAUAAAAAAUGGAGGUGUUGGUGGGAAUAACCGAGAACUACUAUUCUCAGGUAAAAAAUUAGCGUUUGGGUAUAAAGAGAGGAUAAGGGCCUAUUCCUAUCGCUAUCUCCUAACCAAACGCUUUAAUGUACAUCAGAGUAGUAGAUGGGGAAGGGUGCACCAAAUAUACAUGUAUAUACUGCUGGUUAUGUUCUAUCACUUUAUGCGUAUGCUGCGGACUGCUUGCGGUUGCUUGUUUAAUGACACUAGCUAAUAAUACUGACUGCAGUAACUCAUCUUGGGUUUGAGAAGUAUUUCAUUUCCUUUCUAUCGUUUCAUAAUAAAUCAUUAGAGCUAGAGAUGUGUGGGUUCUCUCGCAUUUUGAGCACGUUUGACUAGGACCUCGUUUCUUAUUGGGGAUAAUAAGAAAGAUUUUUAUUUUUAAUGGAGUUGCAGCAUUUUUUGAUGUAUUAUCUCUGUUUUAAAAAACUAAUAUGCAUGGAGAAUCAAAGAAAGGGCGAGGAGGGAGACGAACCGUGAGCGGCAGUGGAAAAAUUAAGGAUAUUUUGUUUAGUUUAUUAAAAUUUUAUGUCGAAUCUGCAAAUUCUAUAAUGUCGGUUAGUUUUUAUAAAAAUAAGAAACAAUGUGCAACGGUGAAAGCUACACGGAUGAUUAAGAUAAAGAAAAACAAUGACAGGCGGAAGGAGAAAAAAAUAUUUAUAUAACGAUCCGAUUUGCUAGUAAUAAUAAUUCGUUGGACCCGAUCUAUCGCAAAAUGUUUAAGCCCAGUUAUUAUUACUAGCGUGUGAGGUCUCAUAUAUUCUAAUUACAAAUUCUCCUGUUUAGUUCAUGACGUUCUCGCCAGAUCCAAACCCAAAUAACAGACAUUACCAAGUCAUUACUAAAUCCGUUGGUGUAGCACUUUGUACCGCAUAUCUCACUUAGCUUUUACACUUCCGGCUGGUAUUUGGCUCUGGUACCAAGUGUAACGACUCAACCCGCUAGUAAUAAUAACUCGUUGGACCUGAACCAUUAGCCCAAAAUACUUAAAUCCAGUUAUUAUUACUAGCGUGUGAGGCCUCAUAUAUUCUAAUCAGAAUUGUUUUUCCAUCUAAUGUGGUCAUAGCUGUGGAACUAGGUCCGGGCCUAAACAAGGCUUGACCCUAUGAGCCAUAUUUGGGCCGGGCUUCGGAUAUUAAAAAUAUAACUUUGGGUUCAGGCCGGGCUUAAAUAUUUAGGCCCGAAAAAAUUUUGGGCCUAUUUGGGCAUGUUCAAGCCCGACCUAAACCCGACCCAAAAUCUUGAUAUAUUAAUUAUCAAAAUAAAAUAUUUAAUUUUAUAUAUAUAUAUAUAUAUAUAUAUUAAUAAUAAUAUAUAUUUAUAUAUAUGAGGAUAUAUUAUAUAUUAACAAAAUAUUUAGUUCCAUAUUACGAUAUAUUAAAUAGUAUUAUUAUAUAUAUAUAUAUAUAUAAUUAAUAGAUAUAUGAGGAUAUAUUAUAUAUUAACAAAAUAUUUAGUUCCAUUUUACGAUAUAUUAAAUAGUAUUAUUAUAUGUAUUUAAUUAUCUAUGAGUAAACAUAUGAUAUAUAUUAUUAUAUAUACCUAAUUAGUUAUGUACAUAACACUUGUUAAAUAUAUAUUAUUUUAAAAUUUUUAAAAAAAUUAAUUAGACGUUAUAUGUACAUAACUUAAGGAUAAUUUUAAAAUUUUAAAAUACCACAAUGCUCUUUUAAAAAUGUAUAUAUGCCCUAAUUAAUUAAACAUUCUACCCACCCUCAUGUGAGAAGUUUCUAUCCUAUUAUUUACUUUGUAGGAUUGUUAGCAUCAGAGUAGGAGUGAAGAUGGCUGAAGCACAUAUUCUAUUUGUCUAAAUCUUAGUUUUAGUUUAUUUAUUUAUUUUGUUUGGUCUUAUUUCAUUGAUGGAUAAUUAUUGGUAGAUAUUAAUGGCAUUAUAUUUGAUGUUAGAUAUUAAUUUCUUUGAUGUGUUCAAACUCCAGUAAAUAUAUAAUCUAAUUUAAAACUUUCAAAACUACAUUCUUAAUGGAGUCAAAAAUUUUCCUGUAAACAAAAGCAAGGAAAUAUGGCCCUAAGGCCAAUUUAUCGCCGUUAGAUGGCGAUCGGAACAAAAUCUCGGUUAAUUUUCUGCGAACGAGUGCAGAAAAGAUUGUGAUAUAACUAGUAUAGAAGGAACGCCGUGUGUUCCUUCCUGGUGACCGGGGCAGGGGUACUUGUGAGAUCCCUGGUGUUUGACUGUGGAAGCUUGUCGACAGCUCUGGAGAGUGUCGGGACAAGCCCGAGUCGCGUUGGCGUCAAAUAGACGUAAAACGGACUCCGUCGGACGCGAGAGCAGCCUUCAGCGAAGAAAAAUCUGCGAAAUAGCAGAUUUUCCUGCUUGUUGUACCGGUACAGCCAUCAUGGCGUACCGGUACACUAUACUGAUGCCGCGUAAUCUGCUCUCGGGUUGCUUCCUGUACCGGUACGCAAUCCCGUGUACCGGUACACCAGGGUAGGUGAGAGGGUGUUUUGGUCUUUUCUCUCCCUCGUUUGUAUCACCAAGCCUCUCUCUCUCUAUUUAGCCUUGUGAGGACAGAGAGAGGGAGUUCCUCUGUUGCUACUUCCUCUCUCUCACUCUCCAACAGAUCUUAGGCUAGGGAGGAGCACGGUUGAGCCGGGGAUUCGCCGACGUCGCACCGCGAGCCGUUCGAGCGAGCGUUUGUUGCCGGGGCAUUGCGAAGAGGCCGGGCGAGGGUGCGUCUUCGCCGUCCUGGACAUCGCGCCGAGGAUUGUCGCUGUNNNNNNNNNNNNNNNNNNNNNNNNNACGGGUGUGUUCACAGUCCCAGGGACGGGUAUGUCUACAGUCCCGAUUGGAUUGGGUCAGAUUUGACAUUUCCUACAGUUGGUUAGUGUAGAGCAUGAUAGUAUAGUGAUUUGUAGCGGUUGAGUUUGUUUCCUGCUUUUCCUACUAUUCUUGCUCCCUCCUGUAGACUUAGUGGGUGGACCGAUGUUGUUUUGGGCGGUACCCACUGAGGACUACUUAUUUUUAUAGUAGUUCUCACGCCCAGUUGUUACCCCUGUUUUGCAGAGCCACAGGUUUCGGCUACUGCGCCUUCCGCAGAUCAGGAUCGAGGCAAAGGCGUCGCGAGUUAGAGCCCUACCCGACGUGCUGAGCUAGAGGUGCCCCUACUGCAGGUAGAUGUUUUGUUCGAGUUUAUGUACAUAGUGGACCUAACUCGCCAGUGCGAGUAGCUUUGUAUAUUGGAUUUGGACUAUGUAUAUGAAACUCAGUUGGUUUAGUUUCUGUUUCUCUAGCAGCUCCCUACUACUAUUCGUAGUAGUGUUUGAUUUACAGGUACAGCUAUCGCUUCGUAUACAGGGGAAAUUCCUUUGUAUACGGCGGAUUUGUCGGCGUGCCCGGGGAAAGUGUAAUCCGGGGCGUGACAGUACUGCAAACUUUCGAAGAAAUUUAGAAUAAGCCAAGUCAUUUAGAUCAAGGUGUGCCUCAAAAUCAGACACACCAUCAGGAUUGUAGGUCAUAGAGAAGGAAACGCCAUGAGGGCGUAAGCCUACAAUGGCGGCUACAUCAAAAAGAGUGGGGGUAAGAGGCCCUCUUUUGAAAAGAAAAACAUUAGAAACAGGGGACCAGAAACAAAGAGCGGCAGCUAGAAGAAGAUUAUCGGCUAUAGGAGGGUGCUGAGAUAAUUGAAUUGCUUCAUAAAUGCCGAUUUCCCGCCAAAAGGCGCCAAAAACGGGUUCUACUCUAUCUAACCAGGCCAAAUAUGCUUCGGAAACGCUUGGCCAAGUUCUAAGACUCUUUCCUCUCGAAGCUGAUGAGUACCAAGAGUGGAGAUGAAUAAUCCUCUUCAAAGGAAGUCCCUUAUCAGAGAAAGGAGAGUCAGUAGGAGAUGGUGCAUCUAUAAGAGAAUGACCUAAUAUGAAUCUAGAUGGAUCUAAGUCAACGAAAGGUUUGAGUACAGUAUAGUCAAGAGAUGGAUGAGAAGGAAGAGGAGGAACCAAAGACAUCGUUCAAAAGAAGAGAAGAGCCGAGAGAGUCGGUUACGAAAAGCAAAGAAGAAUGAAGGAGACUAAGAAGAGGUUUUAGUAAAGAAGACGAAGAAAAGGAACAAGAAUUAGAAGAGACAAAAAGAAUGGAAAGCUUGGGGAAGAAGAAGAGGCCGUUGUAUUGAAUUGACGCAUCGAUUACGAGUCCCAAGAUCGGCUAUAAUUGUAGUAUCCUUAUUUCUUUAUCUUUUCUUUUCCUUUUUCUUUUUAUUUCUUUUGAGUUGGUAAGCAUGCUGGGGAUAAGGAUGCCACGUGCACCUUACCCCCAAGCAUGCUUAUCACCUUAAUACUUGUGCAUAGUUUAUAUAUAAUUCUUGAGCCUCUACGCAUAUAGUUCUUGAGCCGUACGUAGAGGAGGAGCUCAGGUGGUGUGGAGUUUCGUCGACGUCGCGCAGCGGUGCCGUUCGAGCGUGUGUUCGUCGUCGUAGCAUCGCGAGGGGGGCCGGGCGAGGGUCCGAUUCUGCCGUUUUUGUUGUCGCGCCGGAUUGUGAUUAGCGUUUGAGGUGGGUUACAUCGGUUUUACUCCUAAGUUCUUAUUGGUCGACAUGUAUAGAUCUUGAUUUCGGUCAUUAAUUUAGCUCAAAUUCAUGGACUAUAUGUAGAUUGUGAAAUCUGAAUUUUGGAGCAUAUUUUAUAAAUUAAGUAGAUCAUACAUAUUGGACUUGGAAAUUGAAUUAGGAGAAAACCUACGAUUUGGACCUGUCACCAGUUUUAACUACCUGAUUUAGCUCUAGGAGCCGUUAGAAAAUUGUACUGUCGCAGUUAUUCGAGACGAGUACUCCAGGUAGUUUAGAAUGUAUUUACACUCGUGCUCGUCCGCCGAGUGGAUUUUUACAGGGUCGUUCAGGUUGUUUCGGACUGUUGGGUGCCGUCAGAGUUGACGGUGGACCCGUAUCGCCUUUUUGGGCGUCAGAUUGUGCCGAGGGCACUUACCUGUUGGUUGUUAGACCAUUUUGAGUCGAUUACUUGACUUUGGCUAGUUGGAGCCUGUUUGAGCUCGACAGAGAUACGCUGCAUACUCGGUUGGGUAGCGCCCACGAGUGCCACUCCGGAGUCAGGCUUGUGCUUUCGCGUUGGUGUCGCUCAUGCCAGUUGGACUUGCUCUCCACGGACCAGUUGGUGUGGAGGUAGCUGGAUAGUCGCAACGGGGCAGGGACGGGUGUGUUCACAGUCCCAGGGACGGGUAUGUUUAUAGUCCCGAUUGGAUUGGGUCAGAUUGACAUUUUCUACAGUUGGUUAGUGUAGAGCAUGAUAGUGUAGUGAUUGAUAGCGGUAGAGCGUACUUCCUGCUUUUCCUACUAUUCUUGCUCCCUUCUGUAGACUUAGUGGGUGACCGAUGUUGUUUUGGGCGGUACCCACUGAGGACUACUUGUUUUUACAGUAGUUCUCACGCCCAGUUGUUACUCUUGUUUUGCAGAGCCAUAGGUUUCGGCUGCUGCGCCUUCCGCGGAUCAGGAUCGAGGCAAGGGCGUCGCGAGUUAGAGCCCUACCUGACGAGCAGAGUUAGAGGCACCCCUACUGCAGGUAGAUGUUUUGUUUCGAGUUUAUGUACAUAGUUUACCUAACUCGCCAGUGCGAGUAACUCUGUAUUUUGGAUUUGAGCUAUGUAUAUGAAACUCAAUUUGUUUAGCUUUUGUUUUCUCUAGCAGCUCUAUACUACUGUUUGUAGUAUUGUAUGUUUACAGGUACAGCUGUCGCUUCGUGUACAGAGAAAACUCCUUUGUAUACGGCGGGUUUGUCGGCGUGCCCGGGGAACGAGACAUCCGGGGCGUGACAAUAAUGAUGAAUAGACAGCGGCAAUUAAGAUGAUUUAAUUACUGCCGCACACGAGACAAAAGUAGAGAAUACGAUUAGGGCCGUAAAGAAGAGAAUAAACGGCUUAGAUUAAACCGUACAGAAGAUCGUGGCGCAGAAUACGUCAGAGAAUUUGAAUUUGAUUGGACCGGAAAAUACGCCUCGGAUUAAGCUCAUUUUCGGCAACAGAAAAUUGUUUGAGAUAAAAAGGUAACGCCAGCUACUGAAGCAUCGCUUCGAAAACUGGCGAGGGGGCAAUUAUUGAGCUAGUUAGGCGCGAACAGCUGGCACGCCGGGUUCAUAUCCGAAAGACGGCUAAAACAGUAGACCUAUAGUACACCGGACGCACACGAGCCGCACUGGAUCGAGGAGUUAUAGCAACCGCAAGCAGUUACGAGCGGUUCCGAUCGGUCGAAGGUGGUCCUACGAAUCAGGAGAUAGUGGCUGAUCGUGCAAGAGCAAUAACUAACGCAAGGGCGGUAUAAAUAGGGAUACGAUACCCUGAAAAAAUGUCAUCGCCCCUGCGCACAAAAGACCACCUUUAUUUUUCUACAUCUUCCUUUCCUGCAUUUACUGCUUUCCAUAGGAGUAGCUCUCGUAACUUAGCAUUCUUGGAGUCUGUCUGCCCUAUGGGCAUUACUCUCCUGUUCUCAUACCUGGAGUCUGUCUGCCAUACGGGCAUCACUCCCCUAUUCCUGUAAUCUUCUAUUUUCUAUUAAAUAGAAAGUCGUUUUUCGGCUCCCCUUGCCGAUCAGAUCCCGAGUUGUUCAGCCAUUCGGCUAAUCUUUCAGUCGAACUCUGGGCUUCCCCUCUUCAUUCGGCUCAUCCUGCCGAAGCGAAUUUACUGUGGAGGUCUUCGAACCCGGCUGAUUCGAUCCCUCAUCGGCCGAAUCGCUUGAUCCGUCGUGGGCGCAAACUUCGAGGGUCAAAUCCGCGGCCGCGUAUCAUCCCGACGCCCUUCCCGAGGAGAAUACUUGACCGGGUCAAGGGUCGGGACUUUCGGCCGCCAACACAUCCUUAACUAACUAAGUCGAACAAUUAAUAGUCUAUGUCAUGAAUAAAUAGAUGAUGGUUUAUAUCUAGCUACCAUAUCAUUGACGAGUUGACUUGGCCGGGUAUUCCAUUAGUAAACCGAUCUAUUUGUUUUCUUGGACUUCACACUUAGACCAUAAAAAAAAAAAAACUUUUCUUUGCCUUAAGAUAAGUAAACUAGUUAUUUGUAUGUAUUAAAAUGAUAGAAUAUACAUAAGUUGAAUUACUUUUUCUUUUUGUAUAUGAUUUGCACACGGGUGUUGGAAACAAAUAUGUGGACGUUAGAAUUCCGAUAUAUUAAUGGAGUUGACGCCUUAGUUGUUGCAAUGGAACCGGAGCCAAUUAUCUUGGGGUUGCGUCCAGAUACAUAUAUAUUAAUAUUGUAGCUGGUAGCGCAACUUGUUUUAAUUUUUUUGUUUGCUUAGUAAUAACUAAUCCUAUUUAUCUACCAUUUCAGGUCUAGUUCAUUAGAUCUGUUGAGAGAACUAUUGAUGAGGAGUUAACUAGUUGGAUAAUAUGUAUGCAAUUUUUUUGGUAGACACUUGCCUUAUUUAUCUGUUUAAUAAUUUCUUUUUUGAAUUUUUCAGUUAUUUUCUAAACUAUUUUAUUUGGACUAUUGGUUAGACAUAUGCGCUAUUUGAUUAAUCAUUGGAGUUAUUAGUUGAAAUUAAUAUUUGUUUUUAAUAUUGGGUCUUAAUGCCUUCUAUGUUUGAAGUGUUUUAUUUUCAGACACGUACGUUGGAGCGUGAAAUAUGGUUUGUACGUGAAACACGGUUUGGGAUGAAUUGGGUGUGUUAUUUACUUAACAACUGGAGUUGCUAGUCAGAAUUAACAUUUGUGUCUAAUAUUGUCUCGACGGUUUUGGUUGUCAAAGGAUCUGUUCUCUAAACAUGUUAGGAUGCGAAACACGAUUUGAAAUGAACAUGUUUGGGACAUGAAACACAGUUCCAUUAGGGCGAUCAGGUUUGAGGGGUGUGAGACACAGUUCUGUUGGUAGUUAAACACACAUUAGGGUCUGUUUGGUUCUAUUGCUAGUUAAACAUACAAUAGGGUCUGUUUGGUUUGUGUUUUAUAGUAUUACUGGUAAUCUUAAUAUGAUUAAUAAUCUGGUUAUUUGGAUUACUGCUAGUGUCCCAUUAUUUUGUUUGGUUCAGCAAUGUAAUAUCCAAUUACGGCAUAUAUAAGAUUAUUUUGUUUGGUCAUAUUAUAUAUUUCAGUAAUUAUAAUAGUGAAGAUAAUAUUAUUUUGAAAAUAUCCUUAUAUAUUUUAUUUAUAUGAAAUUUAAAUGUAAACUUUGAAUUUAAGUUUAAAUUUAAUUGCAAAUUUUUAAUUUAAAUUUAAAUGUUGGUUCAAAUUUUAAAUUCAAAUUCUGAUUUUAAGUUUGAAUUUUGAAUUCAAAUUUUAAUUUUUAAUUUGAAAUUUUAAUUUAAAUUUAAAUUUUAAUUCAAAUUUUAAAUUUAAAUUAAAACUUAAAUUUUUAAAUUUAAACUUAUUUUUAAAUUUCAAAUUUUUAUUCAAAUUUUCAAUUCAAAGUUUAAAUUCAAAAUUUGAUUGCGAAUUCCAAAUUUAUAUUCAAAUUUAAUUUUUGAAUAUUCAAAUUUUUAAUUUUUAUUUAUCUAAAUUCUAAAUUUGAAUUUAAAUUAUGAAUCAUAUUUCAUUUUAAGUUUAGAUUUAGCAUUACAGGCCCACCAAGCGAAAUGGUUUUUUGGUCACGGCUAGAUAUUUUAAAUUUUAAAUUUAAAUUUAAUUUAAAAUUUUUAAUCUAUAUAAAAAAAUUUAACUCAAAUUUCAAAUUAAAUCAAAAUUUUAAGCUCAAAUUUGAAAUUAAAAUUAAAAUUUUUGUUUGAAUUCAAAAUUUAAAUUUAAAUAUUUUAAGAAUGAGAUAUAAAAAUAUAAAUUUAUUUUCAUUUGAGGUAAUUGGGGUGUGGAGGGUUAAUUUAUAACUUUCUAUAUAUGAGUUGUAUAAUAACCGGCCAUCAGUAAUGCUAGAUACUCACCCACUCUUUGAUAAUAUUUUGGGAUUAUCUCGUGUUACUAGUAAUUAAUGCUGUAUUAUUAAUGGGAUUAUUUCCGGGAUAAACAAAAUAAAAUAAUCUAAAAAAAUUUCUAUAGAAUACUCUGUAAUCCUGCUAAAAUAACGCGAACCAAACAAACCCUUAAAUUAAACAAAGACUUACAUGUUGUAUAUGUAGUGUUCCGGAGUUUUAGAUAGGAUUGGCUACAGUUUUAGUGACUGGUCGACACAUCCGGAGAGUGUUGGACUGAGUCGGAGUUAUUUCUGCACGAAAUAGAUGUAGAAAUGGACUCGGCGCACUCAAAUAAGUAAAACUGAAGUUUUGCUAGUUUCGGGCACUCAGAACUGGAUUUGGGUCACCCAGAACUCGAGUGCUGGUUUGAACAGAAGUGGAAGCCAAUCCGGAUCCUGAUUUCGGGAGCCCACAAGUGGGUCUGAAAAUUCACUUUGUGAAUAUCGCCUGUGCUGACAUGUGUAUGUGGUAGGUGAGUUUUGCCGGACCAUGUUAAAGGUGCAGCACACCGCGGGCGGAGGAACUAAAGGAGAGUAUUUGUGCAGGCUGGAUGUUUCGGACGCCCGGAACAUGGUUCCGGGCGCCUGAAAAGGCCCGUUUCUGUAGGGACAGUAGGUUUGUGUUCUUUAUCCCUGGGGCUUAUCGGACCCUUUCACCUCACUAUAAAUAGCUAGAGUUCGACCCCUGUAAAUCCUUUUCACCUCUUCUUCACAGGGAAAGCCAAAUUAGCACUUUAGCCCCUCAAUUACUCCAAAUUCCACAGUCUCCACCUUGUAGACUGCAGUUCUAGUUGAAUUCCAGCAGCGACCUUCGGCGUUUUGGCCCAUGUGCGACGUAGGAAGUUUCGUUUGCCACAAAAUUUGGUUUGUUGGUUAGAAGACUUCCUGAAGAUUCCGUAGAGCCCAUUUUGACAGCAUUUGAGUGAGAUUAGCAUUAUCAAUUCCAUAUUUUUCUGAGCUAUUGUGAUGUUUGAGCUGAAAUUGACAGUUUUUGGGUUUUCUUGAUGCAAUUUUUGGAGGAAGUUGGAUUUUGGACCAGAGGGUGAUAGGGUGAUACUCCAACAUAGUUCACUGGAUUUGAGACCUUUGCUCACCUGAAUUAGAGAUUGAUAGGUGAGUUUUGAUAUUGGAAUUGGUGGAUUAAGCUUAAGUGCUGAAAUUUAGGAGUUGUAAUGCAAGUUUUGGUGUUUUUCAUGUUUAGAUCUUUGGAGAAGUUUGGUUGCUGAUUCUGAGUGAUUUCGGCUGAUCUCAGCAGGGUUUCCAAUAACUUCGCGACCUCGUUCUGCCGUGGAUUAGCGCUAGAGGUGGUUUAAUGAUGUUUAUCGAAAUUUAUAGGAUUACCUUCUAAGCUUAUAUGUUGUUAGCAUGUGUUUUACCUUUGUUCUUCAUGUUAGUAGCUCAAUUCUAUGAUUAGCAUAAUUCUAAAAUCUGAAUUGGAGUAUAAAAUAUUAGCUAAAAUAUAUAUAUUGGACUUAAAAUUAAUUUAGGAGAAAACUAGCAAUUCUACACCGUCAUUUAUUAAAACUACUAGAUUUAGCUCUAAGAGCCGUAGUUUGUUUGUAUCGCCGCAGUUUGCGAGCGGUGGAUACUCAGGAUAGCGUAGAAUUCAUUUACGCUCGUGCUGGGAUGGCGAGCUUAUUUUACCGUAGUAUAUAGACUGUUCCGGACUGUCGGAUGCCGUUGUGGUUGACGGUAGACCCAGUUUGCAGUUUUUGCAUCGAAUUGUGCUAAGGGCACGUAGAUUAUGGUUGUUAGACUAGUGAGACCUUUCUACUUUGAUUACAGCCUGUGAGAGCCUGCUUGAGCUCGCACUUGCCCCGACACUCUCCAGAGCUGUCUACAAGCCUCUCCUGCUGAACACCAGGGAUACUAUAAUAAAAUUAAACAAAAAUAUUAUAAAGAUAAGGUUUAGAUAAAGCCUAUGGAUCGAGGCGUAUAGAGCACUGUUCUAGAAGCGAAAUUGCCCCUCCACGUGUGAGGCUUCCCGGCAAUUACUCCUAACGAUACAAUGACCAUGUUUCACCCCGUCGGCACGCUUCCAAGGUGGUGCAAGACGAACUCAGCAGGCUUCAAAUCCAGCAAAAGAAAACUCGGGGAAAAUCGAAAACUCGGCGGAAAAAAUUAAUGGCGAAAAAGCAGGAAAAGACGGGAGGGUAUAGGUAUGCUCGGUUUCUUCUUUAACUCGUGCAACCUCGCCCAAUAUUUAUAACCAAGGCGAGAAUCUUGUUCCAACACGUCAAAUCCGAGUAGAACAAGUGUGAGAUCCCUGGUGUCUGGUUGUGGGGGCUUGUCGACAGCUCUGGUGAGUGUCGGGACAAGUCCGAGUCGCGUUGGCGUCAAAGAGACGCAAAACGGACUCCGUGCGACGCGAGAGCAGCCUUCAGCGAAGAAAUCUGCAAAAUAGCAGAUUUUCCUGCUGGCUGUACCGGUACAGCCAGCGAGGUGUACCGGUACGCUAUACUGGCCGAGCGCGUACUGCUCUCGGGUUAGCUUCCUGUACCGGUACGCGAUCCCGUGUACCGGUACGCCAGGGUAGGUGAGGGGCUUUUUAGUAAUAUCACCUUGCCUUGUUUGUAUCACCAUUCCAUCCCUUACUUUAUACGUGUAGGAGCAGAGAGAGAGAGAGCUAUUUGCUGCCCAUUUCCUUCUCUCUCUCCCUAGCAUUGAUCGAAUAGGUGGAGUUCGGUUGGAGCUCGGAUUCGACACCGACGUUGCGCCGCGAAGCCGUUCGGGGAUACGGUUGGGAUCGUAGCGCUGCGAGGAAGCUAGGCGAGGGUGCGUUGUUGCCGUUCUCGACGCCGUGUCGCUGAUCGAUUAGCCGUUGAGGUGAGCGUUCCGUGCGUUGCUUCAAGUAUUGACAUUUCGAGCUAAGUGCUGUUUUCGCAGAAUUUCACCGUCGACUGUUGGUAUUUUGGCUCGUUCUCGACGUAGGAGCAUCGGAUUGUGACGAGACUUGGCUCGUUGGAUUCGGGACUUCGAGAGGAAUCCACAGAGCCCUCACUUGCAAUUUUUGGUCAAGGUUAGCAGGGUCGAAAUCAUGCUCUUCUCAGCUGCUGUGAUCGGGGACUGAAUUGUGAAUUUUUGUCGUUUUAGCUUGGCGUUGGCUUGGCGACCGGACUUGGAGAUCCCCGAUUGAUCCAGCGGAGUUCCUUUUAGGCCGAGGCUUCGUUUGCUGCCAGGAGAUAGCACUUUAGGUGGGUUACAUCGGUUCGACUCCUAAGUUCAUAAUCGUCGACAUGUAUAGAUCUCUAUUUUGGUAAUCUAGUUUGGCUCAAAUUCUUGAAUGAUUUUAGAUUGGUAAAAUCUGAAUUCUCGAGCAUGUUUCAUAAUUUAAAUAGAUUAUACAUGUUGGACUUGGAAAUUGAAUUAGGAGAAAACCUGCGAUUUGGACCUGUCACCAGUUUUAACUACCUGAUUUAGCUCUAGGAGCCGUNN
This 24961-nucleotide long non-coding RNA is filed under the name Ananas comosus (pineapple). RNAcentral's name for it is "long non-coding RNA (ACOM_LNC014602)". Lineage: Eukaryota; Viridiplantae; Streptophyta; Magnoliopsida; Poales; Bromeliaceae. The record is from RNAcentral.